UCGUGUGUAACGGGCCUAAGCGGUCACGCCGCUGAGUCCAACGGCUUGCCGCAAUCCCGCACAUCCCGCAUAAGUCCUAACCUAGCUUCGAACAAAAAACGUAGUGCCUACCCACGAUGGCGGCGACGGCGGCGGCUGCUGCUACUUCGCCCACCUGACGCUUCUCCUUCGCCACCUCCUCGACGACGGCCUGCUCCUCGCCGCUGACGCCCUCCACCUCCCGGCCACCCUCGCCUCCGGCGCCACCGCCAAGUCCCCUCCCAAUUUGUGCGCACGCCCCGACGGCCUGCUGCGGAACUUCGACGUCCUCGCCGGGUUCCUUGCGUUUCUGUGAUAUACGGUCAGAAGAACUCCUUGUUUAUUGAGCAAUCAUGGUGGUGUCGACGGCGCCAUCUCCACAUCGGGACUGCCCUACUGAAAUCCUCGAUGGAGAUGUUGUCCCUCCACUGCCUCCCUCACAUGCUGAAGCUGUGGUUUCUCCGUCGCUUCCCUCCUUGAUUGGAGCUGUUGUUUCGUCACCUUCCGCUUCAGCAAGGGCUCCGGCAACCUUGCCGCGCCCUUUCCUAUCCUCCAAGAACAAAGGGCAUGCAUCCAAGAACAAAGGGCAUGUGUCAACUGAUGAAGUCGAUGCAGCUGCAACACUUUGUUCCCUUGUCCCAAUGACCCAAGAUCCUCACCAAGGUUACUUAGGAGAAAAGCAAAGACUCGCAAAGAAGAGCCUGAGGUCACCGUUACUGGUGCCCAUAGUGGGAUCCCAGGGGUUAAUGUCGUGUUAUCUCAGGCAUCUCCAAGAUUAGGUGUGAAACGAUCAUCGCCAACACUGCCUCAGAUUCCUCGUCUUUCACAUAAAAGAAAAAGAAGGAAACUUAAAUCUGAAAUCUGGAAUGAUUAUGAUCCUGUGUAUGAUGGCAACAAAAUCAAGGAAGCACACUGUAAAUAUUGCAAGAGAGUUUUUAUUUGUACAAGAAUAGCUGGUUCAAUGCAUCAGGAUUUGUUAGUUUGUGAGGAAAGAGGCAAGGUCAAUGAGUUUCUCGACUCGGUUAAAUCAGCCAUGCCACAACCUGAUCCAAACAGUGUAGAAAAAUGGAAAAAUGACCCCGACAGAGCACAUUGGGAGUUGAUGAGGAUGAUUGUCGUUCAUGAAUUGCCAUUCUCCAUAGUGGAAUAUGAUGGGUUUAGGCGAUUUGUGCAUAGUCUGAAUCCAACAUUUGAGGUGGUGUCUAGGAUGACAAUAACACUUGGUUGCCUCCUUCUAUUUGAUGAACAAAGGACAAAGCUUUGAGAGGCUAUGCAGAACUUAAUCUCCCGUGUCUCUUUAACCGCCGACAUGUGGACUUCAAGUCAACUCAAGAGCCGUGGAUAAUAUCAGGGAAAGCAUCAAGUUUGUUAGAAGCUCCCCCACUCGGAAACAGAAAUUUAAGGAAAUAGUUGCACAAGAAGGCAUUGCUUGCAAAAAGAGCCUAUCUCUGGACGUCCUUACACGGUGGAAUUCAACGCAUUUGAUGAUCAAAAUAGCCCUGGAGUAUAGGAGAGAAUUUGCCGCUAUGAAGUUGCAGGACACCACAUUUACAUGUCAACCCACAAAUGUUGAAUGGGAAACGGCAGAAUUUGUUUGCAGCUUGUUAGAGGUUUUCCUCGAUGCAACUAUGGUGGUGUCCCGUACAUUAUAUCCAACAUCUCAUUUGUAUUUCCACGAACAUUGGAAAAUUCAUCUAAUAUUGCAAAGAGAGACCAAACAUAAGGAUAUUGUCAUCAAAUCCAUGGUUGAAGCAAUGCAAGAAGAAGUUCAUGAAGUAUUGGAAGCUGUCAUUCUUGACCAUUUGUCUUCCGGUCAUACUCGACCCCAGGUACAAGUUUAAAUUCUUGGAGUUCUGCUUAAAAUCUGGACUUGAAAGUGAUGCAACAAGGUAUCUUGCUAAAGUGAAGAGAACAUUCAAAGAUCUAUUUGUUGAAUAUUCUAUGCAUGAGGGUGAGUCAAAUAUGGGAAAUGAUCAAGGAACCAACAAUGUUGGUACAAGUAUUGAUAACCCAUGGGAUCAAUGGAACAAACAAGUUAAGCAAAAUCAAGAAAAUCGAGCAAAGCUGAGUGAACUUGAUAUUUACCUAAAAGAUGAUGUUUGCCCGCAAGAAGAUGGGUUCGACAUACUAUGUUGGUAGUCCAAUAAUGCACACAAGUAUCCCAUAGUAUCUCGGAUAGCAAAGGAUGUAUUGGCUGCACCUGCAUCUAGUGUAGCAUCAGAGUCGGCCUUCUCCACUGGAGGAAGAAUACUCAAUGACUAUAGGACCAGAUUGCUUCCUACCACUGUAGAGGCAUUAAUCUGUAUAAUGGUAGUGAACAUCAGUUUUUGUCAAGAACCUCCGUUCAGUAUAUUUGGAGACCCUCAGCAUCAGUAGCAGUAUAUUUGGAGACCCUCGGCACCGGCAUCCGCAGCAGUAUUAAGCCCAGAAGAUCAAGCUUUUUGUACAAGUGACGAAGCAUCUGAAGCUUUUUGUAUAUUAUCAGUCACUUUCAUAUCAGGAGUCUCCUGAUUUAGCUAUAGUAGUUAAUUGAAUUCUUGCUAUCUUGUUGAAUUUAGCUGUAGUAAUUCAUGCCACUUACCUUUUGCAGUAAUAUGUUUUAACACUGUUGAGUCUACUGAAUGAGCAAAAUGUUUAAGAAA
Long non-coding RNA from Triticum aestivum (bread wheat), 2660 nucleotides. RefSeq lists it as uncharacterized. The transcript is spliced from 5 exons. Lineage: Eukaryota; Viridiplantae; Streptophyta; Magnoliopsida; Poales; Poaceae. The record is from RefSeq and is a predicted model, not a curated record.